RNAcentral lists this ribosomal RNA (932 nucleotides) under uncultured bacterium. RNAcentral's name for it is "bacterial SSU rRNA". It matches the Rfam family "Bacterial small subunit ribosomal RNA", at positions 8 to 916 of the family's 1533-position model. The record is from RNAcentral.
AGAGUUUGAUCCUGGCUCAGAGCGAACGCUGGCGGCGUACUUAACACAUGCAAGUCGAACGAGGAUCUUCGGUGUAGCAAUACAUUGGCGGUCCUAGUGGCGCACGGGUGAGUAACACGUGGGUGACCUGCCCUGGAGUUCGGGAUACCCCCUCGAAAGGGGGGCUAAUACCGGAUACGUUCCUCGGUUGAAAGAUCGGGGAGGAAAGGUGGCGCAAGCUACCGCUCUUGGAGGGGCUCGCGGCCUAUCAGCUAGUUGGCGGGGUAACGGCCCACCAAGGCUAUGACGGGUAGCUGGUCUGAGAGGACGACCAGCCACACGGGGACUGAGACACGGCCCCGACUCCUACGGGAGGCAGCAGUGGGGAAUUUUCCGCAAUGGGCGAAAGCCUGACGGAGUGACGCCGCGUGUGGGACGAAGGCCUUCGGGUCGUAAACCACUGUCAGUGGGAAAGAUGGGUGUCGGGGUUAAUACCUCCGGCAUCUGACGGUACCUGCAGAGGAAGCCCCGGCCAACUCUGUGCCAGCAGCCGCGGUAAGACAGAGGGGGCAAGCGUUGCUCGGAAUUACUGGGCGUAAAGGGCGCGUAGGCGGGAUGGCAAGUCGGUCGUGAAAUCCCUCGGCUCAACCGAGGCACGUCGAUCGAUACUGUUGUUCUUGAGGAUUGCAGAGGAGACUGGAAUUCCCGGUGUAGCGGUGAAAUGUGUAGAGAUCGGGAGGAACACCGGUGGCGAAGGCGGGUCUCUGGGCAAUUCCUGACGCUGAGGCGCGAAAGCGUGGGGAGCAAACGGGAUUAGAUACCCCGGUAGUCCACGCUGUAAACGAUGAGCACUAGGUGUGGGGGGGUUCAGUCCCUUCCGUGCCGCAGCUAACGCAUUAAGUGCUCCGCCUGGGGAGUACGGCCGCAAGGUUGAAACUCAAAGGAAUUGACGG